RNAcentral lists this long non-coding RNA (11036 nucleotides) under Daucus carota (carrot). Its description in RNAcentral is "long non-coding RNA (DCAR_LNC001304)". Lineage: Eukaryota; Viridiplantae; Streptophyta; Magnoliopsida; Apiales; Apiaceae. The record is from RNAcentral.
CCAACUGAAUCUGUUUCAUUUGAGCGAAGAAACUCUGCUUCUCUAAUGGACUUGGACGAAGGUGGUAUGCAAGACCACGACUGGCAUGGUCUUGCCGUACCAAUGGAUAACCUCUCAGAUGUCCAUUUUGAUUUCUGGUUUUAAAACUCCAACUAUCAAAUUGUCUAGUUUAAGGUUAGACGCUUGAUCUUUGUUUACAUUUACAGCAUGACCUGCUCCAUUACAUGUUGGAAGAGCAUGAGGUCAUAUUUCUUUUUCAAGUCUUGGUACUAGUAUUUCCAGAUAUGUUCAUUUUGGACGAUGUAAAUGUUUUCCAAAAUUCUAUGAUUUUGCCAGAACUAUGAUUUCUUUAAUCUUUUGGUAGGCUUAAAUGAUGCAAAGUUAUAAUGCUGUUCAUUCUGUUCUUAAUAAAUUGUUCUUUAUAAACUGUUCUGUAUUCGCAUGGUUACUUGAAGCAACCUCCAUGUGUUUGCUCCAAAUUGAAAAUUUUGAACAGCAAAUUUUGGUUGAUGAGACCCUUGUACUCUAUGUUCUCUUUUAUCUGUAACCUCAAGUUUUGUAUUUGCAGCAUAUAAAUUAUAUAGAACUUGUAUAUCUGAAAACUUGAAACCUUCAUCGGCUAAUUGGUUGAAGUACUGGUUCUACUUAUUUAUAGUGCAGAAUGCAAAUAUCUAAUAAUGGUCCGCUGAGCUUUUACUUUCACAAUCAUCCAAGUCAACUCAAAUAGUUCAGAUCAAAUUUAAAUCAUUGUUUACUUAAAAUUUGGUCAAAAAAAUAUUUACUUUUCAAAUAAGGUUCAAAUUUUUUUUUUUUUUCCUUUGGAGUCCUAAAUAUGAUUAAAAAUAAUUAUAUUCAAAUGAAAGAAUAGAGAGUAACACAAUUGAGUUCUCUCUCUCUGAGUUUUUGUCUUUCUUUUCAAACUCCUCUUUACUUCAGAGCAAUUCCAACAGGGCCCUAUAAUGGUGUCCUUAAGUUAAAAUUUAAGGCAUUUGAGAUAAAGAUGUAAUCCAACAGUGUUCUAGUGGUUCUAGUGGUGCCUUAAAACACUAGGGCACAAUACAUGUGCCUUAUUUAUAGGCAUUAUCAUACUUGUCCUAAACCAUUUUAAUCCAUAAAAUAUUCACUUUCUCUCUCUUUUCACACCUAUGUUCUGCAACUAUAGAAUGACAUAAAAACAUUGCAAAAAAUAUGAAACUUGUUAUUUUGUAAAAUACAUUCUAUAAAUAUCACUAUUUCAUGAAAAAUAUUGAGAAUCAUUUAUGUUCGACAAGUAGAACACAUAUGUUCUGUAAUAUGUAAAUAUAUUCUGCAAACUUAACAUGUUUUGCAGAAUAAUGUGUUUUUCACUAUUUAACUUGAAGAAUGUUUAGAAUUGUCAAAAUUUUUAACAAAAUAAUAAUGUUUAUAGAACAUGAUUUGCAAAAUAACACAUUUUGCAAUGUUUUUAUGCCAUUCUAUAGUUGCAGAACAUACGUGGUCUACGGUACUACAGUAAAUAUGUGGACUACAUGGAACUUUGUUCUAAUAUUUUAAUAUUAAGACAUGAAGAUAAGGCAUAUUGUUGGAAUAAAUGUAUGUGUAUAGUGUCCUAAAUCACUAGGACAUUACUCCCUCCGUCCCUCUCAAUAGUUUACAUUGAGUUUGGGCACGGAUGUCAAGAAAUAUGUAUAAAGUAGUGAAAAAGAGAAAGAAAAGUGGGUAAAGUGGUGGGACCUAUUGAUUUUUAAUAUAUAAAAGGGAGAUAGUGGAGUAAAAGUAGUGUGAAAAGAAAGAAAAAGUGGAAAAGUGUGGGACCCAUUAACUAGUUUAGGAAAGUUUUGUAAUGUAAAGAAAUGAGAGGGACAUCCAAAAGAAGAAACUGUAAAGAAUCUAGAUAGUGUUAACGGAGAAAACAGGUAGGUUAACAAAGAUGAGGUUCGCGGCGUGGAUCAAGAUUCUUGUUGGCGAGAAUGUAGGAAGCGGUUGAUUGUUUGUUAUAGUGGUGGCUGCAAUUGUAAGCAAAGGGUUCGAGAUUGCUAACUGGAAUAGCUCUCAAGAAUGAUCGAUGCCUACAAUCUGCCUACGUACCCCUAUUUAUAGGGGAUCAAGCCGGCACGUAGUUCUUUCUCCUAAGAGACCCAUGUGGGCUGGGCCUCCCCUUCUAGAAUCUUCCUCCCGAAAGGGGCCCAAUACGAUGAGGCCUAGCCCUUUAGCUUACCCCAAAUGCAUGGACACUAUCCUACUCCCCGACAGGGACAACCCGCCAGACUACAGAGAUAGGACCUUCCAAGACAUGUCUUUUCUUCUAUCCUCUACCUCCCAAGGAGGACAACCCCUCAGACUACAAGGUAGGGUCUUCAUCAUUUCAACAGUUGGGUCCACUCAUGUUUAAAGACGUCCCCCUAAACAAGAAGUAUCUCCUGCUGCCCUUCUGUACUAUAAUUGAACGAACUCUCCUUAGCAAGUGGGCGCGCCCAAAGAUAAGGCGCGCCCUGUCUUUUGACAGGGUCACCUUGAAACGGAGUUGAUCUUGACUUUCCUGACCCAAGUAGACCUUCUUCUGUGGGCCCGGCCCAUUUAAUUUCACAAUUUCACAUAUAACAGAGAGAUAGAGGGAGUAUAUUUUAUUAUAUAUAUACAGGGCUUCCAUUAAGACACUGUUGGACUUGCUCUUAGGUAAAGAUAUAUGUGAGAGGGGUAAAAUUUGGCAAGUAACGAUAUAUGUGAGAGGGGUGAAAUUUGGCUAAUACCAAGACACUCUUAGGUAAAGAUAUAUGUGAGAGGGGUAAAAUUUGGCAAGUAACGAUACACGUGAGAGGGGUGAAAUUUGGUUCAAUACCAAGACAUUAAUGUUCAAAUGUCACUACAUUAUGAAGUGUGAGGUUAUAAGAAUAAAACGGUACAUGUACGUGAUACACCGUAAUAUUAUGAAAAAUAUGUUAUAUAUCUUUAAACUUGAAAUUAUGAUAAAGAGGUGGGAUACCAAAAUAGUUCAAUUAUAUCGCUAUUAUAUCUGUUAAAAAGAGCAUAUAUUAAAUAAUAAUAUUACUUGCCAGUAAAAGACUCUGUAAAAAUUCUUAUAAUACGAUUGACAAUCACCUUGUGCAGAGAACAAGUGCAAUAAUUGGAAAAUUCGAGCGGUCAUUUUAGAAAUAAAUCAAAAUCGCAUAAAAAAUAUUGCCGAAUCAUCAAAUCACUGAUAAGCAGAAGUGAUUUAGGCGACUUGGUCGAUUUCGAGAAGCCUCUCGCGCACAAAUGAUCUGUGUGUCUACAUGAUGCUGUCCAGACAUGAAUUCAAUUCUCAACGCAACUUUGUUCACUCAGGUUCUAUUUCACCUUUUGAGCUAUUAUUUGGUAAUAUACACCUUUGAUCUUAAUAAUAUCGUAAGUAAUCGAGUUAUAGGUUAGUUUAUUGCUAAAUCGGGACUUAAUUUGUUUAAUUAUGAGGGCAUCUUGUUUUGAUACAAAGUUUUUUUACUUUUCUUAUGAUUUUUUGAGCUAUUAUUUUGUAUUAUUCAGCUUUGAUUGUAGUAAUUGAGUUCUAGGUGUAUUGGGUUCUUGCUAAAUUCUUGCUUCAAGUGUUGCAUAUGAUCUUUGUCGAGUACAGUAGAGAAGUGGAGUCUCUCCGCUCAAAUGAGAUAGAUUGAGUUAGUUGUUUUGUUCUUUCUUGGAUUCCAUGGUGUUUUUUCUUGUUACUUAUGUUAGUCUAUUAUGUAUGUAGCAAUGAUUAAUAUUUAUAAAAUACAGCUCUAUCAUGAUCUAGAAGAUUCCAGUCUCAUUUUUUACGAGUUUCUCAUGAGAGUGAUAUCAUACAUAGCUGGAAAAUUUGAUAUCUUUAUUUUAAAAUUGCUUUGUCAUAUUAUUAUUAAUUUAAGGAUUCAUGUGCACGUGGAAAUCUUGCAGUAAACAAUGAAGAAAAUGCUCCACAAAUAUCUAAAAUCGAAGAAACCAAAGACUCAUUGGCGGCCUCAGGUAAAAAUGUAUUCACAUUACAUAGCAUGUUUAGUUCGUAUGAAAUAAUAAUGGUUCAAAUGUUAUGAGUGAUAUUUUAAAGGCUCAAGAUUCUCUCUGUUCUACACUCAUUGUAGUAGCUGAGCAAGCUGCACAAACAAUGUAGUUCUAUUCAUUUUCUUUGCUCCACUUUUCUUAUUAUUAGUCGGAACAUGCUCUUGGUGUUUACGAAUUUUUCAUAUAAAAAAUUGAUAUUACCUGGGUGGGAAAUUGUAGUUUUCAUGGCAUGAUUAUCUUUUACAGGAGAUCUAUGAUACUUGAAAGUGACUGCUUUAGUUUGUUUGAUAUGAUUUUUAGGGAUUAACCUCUCUCUCUUUCUCUCUCGCUUCUCUUUCCCUUCGCACUACCACAUGGCAUUGCUCUUUUUGAAUCACUGCAGCCAUCACUGGGCAGCAUGUUCAAUCCCAUAUAGUGUUGUUUGUCCCUAGAAUCUCUAACAAGAUUAAUAACAUGGGAACCAGGCAUCUGUAUCAUACUGAAAUAGAACUAACUGUUGCAAGAGAAAACUUUAUAGCUAAACGAACUGAACGUCUUGAAGUGAAAAACUAUAACGUGAACCAACUUAUAAAACAAAAGGGAAAACAUGAUAUUCGUCGACCGCACACUGAUCAUGAAAAAUAGAAAAUCUCUCUCCAGAUACAUCAUUUUAAAAGAUAAUUAAUCCUCUGGUAUAAUCAGGAAAUGUAUAAACGACUUACCUGAACCCUUAGGUUGCAAAUUUUGGCUAGGUGAACUAUAUUUACAUUUGAAACUUGUAAGGGCUUGUUUAUCAACAGAAUUAAGAACUUGUGUACGAUUUAGUUGUUGCAGUUACAUACCUUUUAGUCCUUUUUGUUUAAAAACGAAUCUGAUAGCCUUUCAAUUUUACUUCAUCCUUAUUUUGCUCAAGAAUUUAGAGCUUCCAUUACAUAUUUUGGACUGAUAUAUUUCACUGAUCUUUCCAGAGAGAUGGCAGAUCAGCCCAAAUCACUGUACAGCUGAUUGUUGUAGAAACUCUAGAGGCAUGCUUAACGUCAGGGAUAAUCCUACAUUGCCUGCUGGAGGCGGUGGGUUGGACAAACACAAUAAAGGGAUGCGAUCUUCUGGUGCAGCUAGUAACAGAAGUAUUACUGUGAAGAAAAUUGUCAAACAGGCUGUUCACGUGAAUCUGAGUGCUGAGACGAUGCUGCUCCUCCUCAAGCUUAAUGUGUUAGGUAACUAAAAGAAAUUGGUUUCAAUGUCUCAAAAGCUUCCCUUGUAGUCAAUCUUUCGGAAUGGGUAUGAGCCUAUGAGGUACAUCACCCCUCAUGUCGGGUUCACACACCCAUUAGAUGGAAAUUAUUUAUCCUGAAAAUUCAUUCUCAAACGAAAAGUAUCUUAGAAACUCAGGAGUAAUGUUUCAUUCAGUGGUUUUAAUUUUUUAUAAACUUCAGCAUUUAUUAGUGAAUACAAUUGUUAUCCCACAAGCAUGUGGAAUUUAAAAAUGCAGGUUACAGAUAUGUAACGCUUAUUUGGUAGGCCCCAGUUAAAUAAUACAUUCUAGUUUGGGUUCUGCUUCGUAUAACUCGCCUCCCGUUGCCGUCUUCACACAUAAAAACCCUGUUAGGGCUUAUAAUUGGGGAAUAUCCUAUAAAGGACUAAUUGUAGAAGAGAAAAGCCAAAGUAGUGCGUGUAUAGACCUUUAGUGGUCAGAUCUCGAUUACCUGCUUUUGAAUUGUAUCUGCUAUCUGGUAUGUUGUUGAUUAUUCCUCUAAACUAUAAUCUGGAUAUUUACUCGCUUCUUCUAUUCUGAUGUCCACUCUCGACACAAUUGAUCCUGAAUAUAUUGUAUGUUAGUCAUGUCAGUAUAUGAACAGAUUACCAAUUAUAUUCUCGAUGUCAGUUGUUGGACCAGAUUAUUUGUUUAUAGUUUAAUUCGAGACAUAAUUGGGGCCUCGAGAUCUGAUAUAUUUUUUUUGUAUAUUUGGUUAUGUGAUAGUUGUUGGUCUGGUGCAAAUUACCUUGCUAGAUCUGUAUUCUCUGAUAUUAGAAAUUUUUAGUUUCAUGUAUUCUGUCACGGUCAUGAAUAGAAACCCAAUUUAUAAGGAAACUAUAUACAUUUUUUCACUCGUGGUAUUAUAUCCAGUGGUUAUUAUCUAUUUAUUUUUUAACAGUUGUUAUUUUUUUUGAUGAUUGGAAUGUUAUUUUGCGGAUAUUACUUCACAAAAUGAGUCAUAUUUGAAGCACUAAGUAAUGACCGACGGCAAAUCUAGUUCUGCCAUUAUUUACUUACUCCAGAAUUGUGCUUUAUUUCGAUCUUUGUGUAUAAAGUUUGAUGUUAGUUGACAUGAUAUAUAUGACGAACAUGCCUUUGUUUGGUUCUGAAAAACUAUCCUUCUAAAUUAGAACUUAACAAAUAUCUGAAAAUUUUAGCUUUGGGAUUGUGGCUGCUUUUUCUUGUUAUUAAGAUCAUUUUAUGUAUGUACGUUAAGAGAAAGCAGGUGUAUAAAGAACUUUAUCUGCUUUGUUUUGUUUGAGAAAUGAUUACAUCCCUUUCCUCUAUGCUUAUGUGUUUGCUGUAAUUUUUCUUUUGGGGUAGUGAUUGUUACUAGGACUGUGGGCUGCCCCUUAGAUAUGAUUCUUGUAUUAAGUUAACUUUUGGUUUGCAUGGUAGACCUUUUGAGCUCAUCUAUUUUUUAUUUUCAGAUAAAAUUUCAUUUAUAUAUAUAUAUAUUUUUUUUGUAAGGAAAUUUCGUUUAUAAUUCAGAUACUCAAUACUCAAUAUUACUUGCUUAUUGGUAGAAUGAUGAUGCUAAAUUAUUCUUGAAGUGUAAAGCUAUAAUAUUUAAUGAUUUGCCUACGAUUUUGAAUAGUUAAAAGGUUUGUGUAAGCAGGACUGUACUAUAAAUGGUUAGGGUCAGAGUGGGUUUGACAAUGUGUGCUUUGAGUUGCUGAAUUUGAGAGAUCUAGGUUAUGUAAUUAAGUUAUGUCCAGAUAGCACAAAUUCAUGUCUCAUAGUGCUUGUCUAACUUUUACUGCACCUUUAGGUCUGUUAAUUUUUCUGCGGGUUGUCACUGUUUUUGACAUGCAUCUCCUUAUCAGUACAAUACUCCUGAGCGGCCAAACUAAAAUUGGAAACUUAACCAAUCUGCUACAUAUAUUAUUAGCCAUAAUAGCACCGCAGUUUGCUUUAUUUUAAUAGAUUAUACUGGUUAGCUUUUGAUGUCUAGUGUUGGCUCCUCUUAUUUGAUUGAGUUUCAUGUGCGCAUUCUUAGAAUUUUAAUCUGAACAGAUCUAUGGCAUCUUCAAGGAAGACUUCUGGUACUCCAAAAACCUGUUCUAUCCCAGUGUUGGACUCCUCUUCUGAUUUUUCAGGUAUAAUGACUGACGAUUUGUUAAUGUUUACUAACAAAUUUAGCAUCAUUUUUCAGUUAUACUUUAUGUUCGCUGAAGUCAACUUUUUGGUGGGUUUUCAUCGGUUAUAUCUGGUUAAACUCCUUGUAAAGGCUCUUUCCCGUUCCAUCACUUCGUCCCUACUUUAGAUAAGACUAUACUAUUCAUCUCAUGUUUAGACCGAGAUAUCUAUUACCGAUGUUGCACUGUUAUCCUGAAGUUACUUACAUUAUUAUUAUUUUUUUUGUAUGAUUAUACUAUUAGACAUUAUUAUUAGAAUUAAAAAAAGACUACAUAAUAACAUGUGGUGAUGAUCCUCGAACCCUUUGUAUUUUUGAAUUAAUCAUAUCAGUGUCUUAUGUUGAUAUGUUGUUGAUGAGAUUCGAAUCUUUAGACCAUUGGUACUAGUUUAGAUAUCGGAAUAAAGAACUUUGUUUUAGUACCAUAUCAUGGUACUCGUCUAUUUAGUUUGAAAUAUUUAAUUGUUGUUAUUCUCUUAUAGUUAAUGUGUUAAUUAACCAACCAAACGAAAAACUACUAAGACAUACCCCUGUUCGCUUAUAAUAGUAUAGCAUGGAUAAAUAGGAAGUAUCAAUAUGUUACUUUAUUAUUAUGGUUGUACUUCUUUUUUGUUAGUAGUAGUAAUUUUUGUAAUCGGCAGUUAUCUUAUUAUUUUAAUAUUUAUGGAGUUGGGAUAGAAUUAAACAUGUAGAAGGAAAGGAAGAUGGUAAUAUAGUUUUAGAAGAACUUGAAAGCAUACUAACAUCAGGUGUAAUGCAAAAUUUUAGGUGAGUUGGAUGAGGAUCGUGAGGAAUUAUUAUUUGCUGCAGAGUUUGCUCAGAACGCCAGCUGUAUGCAUCUGCCCCGUGGCUUAUUUUCAUUUUUGUUCUUUAACUUAUCAGACGAUAUGAUCAUAUUGUAUUUUUUCUGAAUAAGUCCUACACUACCAAGAAUGGUGACGCUUUUUCUUUUCUUUUUUGCAGACCGCGCUUGUUCUGACUCGUUUUGGAAGAAACUGGAAUGUUAUUUUGCGCCUGUUACUUCACAAAAUGAGUCAUAUUUGAAGCACCAGGUAACGACGGAGGUCAAAUAUAGUUCUGCCGUAUUAAACUUGUGCUUAGGAGUUCAUGAAGAAUAGAUAUGUUAUUUAAAACUGUUUCAUGUCUUAUAUUCAACAGCUGGAUUUAGCUGAUGCAAUCGGUGGGAGUUUAUACCAGAUCGCUGAAGGUGAAGAUUAUAAAGCUCCUACUUUGUUGCAAAGACUCAUCUCUGCUAUAAUUGACAACGAUGAAAGCGAAGGGAUGAGCCAGAAUGGAGACAAGAUGGAAUCUCCCAUUCCUUCUCCCGAUUGCAACAGUCAUAUGCUGUCUGUGGAGGACAAUAUACGAGUGCAGCUGCAGAGCAUUGAUUUGUGUCCUAAAAUGGUUAUGUACCUCUGUUGUUAUUUGGUGAUGUACAUAUCAACUCUACUGACUAAUCUAAUUCUUCUCUUACUAUUGCAGCAUCCAGAGGGAGAGGAUGCAAUUGAUAAAGAUAUUCGUGAACUUGAAGAGAAAUUAGUUCAGCAGGUUUCUUUCUUUUUAUAAACCCUUAGCGAGAAUAACUAAUAAGUUCAUUUGUGUCCUCUUGGUGCUAUAUCAGAUUAUGUAUGCACCUUGAUAUUCUUUUUUCUUGAUUAUUUAGUCUAUUGUCUGCAUUUUUCCUCUUCCCAGUUUCUUAAACAUUUACAAUAUACAGGCACAGAAGAAGAAACAAUACAUUGCAAAAAUUUAUGAAUCUAUUCAACAUGGAAAGGAUGCGGAGAAAAGGUAUCGUUGCAUUCAACCUUAGUUUGAUUAUGCUCUUAUGGCCUCUUUUACAGAUAAGACAAUUAGGUCUGUCUGCAGGAAUCUGGAACAGGCCGCUAUGAGUAAAUUGAUCGAAAUGGCCUACAAAAGACAAAGGGUAAUAGUAUCUUUUCCAUCUGUUUAUUUAUUUUCUUUUUACUUAUUGCUAUUGGUAACCCAACCAAUAUUGAAUUUUAGGAAUCUUGGCACUAUAUACCAAGAAGCAAAUCCUGUGUCUUUCUAUUUAAACUGUACAUUCUAUGGUUUAUAGAAAUUCCAGUAAUUGCUAUAGAUGCAUACACUACACAUGCACUGAUAAUGUAUCAAAAAGAUGUGCAAGCAUUGGAUGGUCUCUGCCCAUGUGCAGGAGGGUCAUAGUCAUGUUAUACUAUUUGACUCUUAGAAGUUGAUAGAGAAAAGAUCAGCAGGUUGAAAGAAAUGGAACAAUAUAUACACGUCAUUGUACUUACUAAAACUAUGUUCUUGUGUUAAUAAAUUUGGAUGGUGAAAGUCCUGAGAGUUACGGCCUUUGACUUUAUAUCGAAGCCAUGCUUAAUAUUUUCUUUCAAUUUUCUGCCUCUUUUUUUAAAUGGCUAUGGCAACGACCUGCUAUAUCACAGUUGGAUGCAGUGAAACCCUAUAAGCAAGAUCUAAAAUCGGUUUCAUUCUGCUAUUUAUCAUGAUAGUUUCAGAAGUAUGAAAUUUUGUAGACACUAAUGAUUUUCUAUGAGCCAGUCUAUAUUCUGAGAGCUUUAAAUAUUAAACAUAUGUACUAUCAUGUUGUGGUAGACUGUGUUUUGACUGGCACUCAUAUUCCAUGGGUUUUCUUGUUACACUUGAUUAACAGAGUAAACUAUACUAUUAGUAACAAUGAAAACAUUAUCUUAACCUUAAUAAGAAUUAUACAUCACCCCUUGAACUUCUAGAACAUUUGGACUUAUUAAACGGUUACCUAUUUUCCACUUCAUAGCAUAUAAUAUAAUCAAUCGUAGUUAGUUAGUUUUGUUAUGUUGUGUGGAUGGGAGAAAUCAUUACUCUGGAUGGGAAUAAAUAUUAUUAACUUACGCUUUAAAUCUAUGAUUACGAAGUCGUCCUUCCCUCCCCCUUCCUCACCUCUAUCUCCUCUCUAAUCUUAGGUUUCUCAUGGGAGUCAUUCCUCGAAGAGAGUGGUCCGCAGGGUCAAUAAGCAAGCUGCUUUGCCUUUUGCUGAACGUACUCUCGCCAAAUGCCUAGAGUUUGAAGAAACUGGGAGGAACUGCUUUAGAAGAGCUGCUUCUAGUUCAUCAGUGACUAUUGGGAGCGAUGUUGCAAGGGGAAAUGAGGAGCUGCACAAUGUAGGAAAGAAUCCUGUGAACCCUUCAACAAAACAACCAACUGAAUCUGUUUCAUUUGAGCGCAGAGACUCUGCUUCUCUAAUGGACUUGGACGAAGGUGGUAUGCAAGACCACGACUGGGAAGGUCUUGCCGUACCAAUGGAUAACCUCUCAGAUGUCCAUUUUGAUUUCUGGUUUUAAAACACCAAAUAGCAAACUGUCUAGUUUAAGGUUAUACGCUUAAUCUUUGUUUACAUUUACAGCAUGACCUGCUCCAUUACAUGUUGGAAGAGCAUGAGGUUGUUUUGUUUUCAUAUCUUGUUACUAGUAUUUCCGGGUAUGUUCAUUUUGGACGAAGUUAAUUUUGUCCUAAAUUCUAUGAUUUUGCCAGAAGUAUGAUUUCUUUAAUCUUUUGGUCGGCUUAAAUGAUGCAAUGUUAUAAUUGUUGGAUGCUAUUCAUUCUGUUCUAAAUAAAUUGUUCUUUACAAAUUGUUAGAUGCGAGAGUGGGGAUAUAUUUUAAUACCAUGAAUAAGAGCUUGCUCACUUGAAGCAACC